RNAcentral lists this long non-coding RNA (765 nucleotides) under Gossypium barbadense (sea-island cotton). Its description in RNAcentral is "long non-coding RNA (GBAR_LNC014863)". The record is from RNAcentral. Lineage: Eukaryota; Viridiplantae; Streptophyta; Magnoliopsida; Malvales; Malvaceae.
CUCAGUACGAAUCGAACGCCACACUUUCGGGAUUAAAGUGAUAAGUUCGGAUAGAAAGACGGGUUGACGCCACAAGGGUUACUUGAUAAGUCAGACGAGUCUUUGGAGAACAAUGAGAGUUGAAAACAAACUCACAAAGUAAUCAGAUUUCAUAUAAAGUUUAAAAGUAUAUUGUCUAACCCCAAAAUGAUUACAAAACAACUAUUUAUAAUAUAAAUUCCUAAGGUAGUCGAAUGGCUAAUAAGAUGCUGAAUGGUCAGCCAAAAUUAAAACAAAAGAGGCUGGAAAUUUCCAGAAACCUUCCUAGGACAUUUUUGGGAAGCUUCAUGCAUGAAGAAUUCAAUUGGGCAGCUUCUAGAUGGAGUCCAUUCAGCUGGACAUUAAUGGAAGUAUUGGUGAGCUGAAUAAGAGGUCUUGGUUCGGCCAAUGAAGUUGAAUGCACCUUAAUGAAGCCUCCUUGUGAGCUGAACAGCUUGCCCAUUUUUAAUGACGUUUUGGGGAUCUCCAACAGCCCAUGGUGUGAACAUCAAAUAGGAACAGCCUUGUGUGUGUGAACUCAUGAAACUGAAUGGCCAAAAGAUAGCAAAAAUUUAUUUAUCAGCUGGGGCGUCCUCCAAGGUAAUUAAAGAGCUGAAUUGAGCUGCUUUGGAAAGUGAAAAGAAACUCCCAAAAAGGCCCUUGCUGUUCAUGAAGGAAUGCAUGGAGGAGAGCAAUCAGCAGCAAUUAAAUGCCGUCCAUGCCCAAAUUCCUGCACCAAAUUAAAAC